GAUUAUUUAGUUUAUAUUAAAACAGAUAUUUUGAAAAUAUCAAAAAAGAAAAUUUCUUAAUAAUCG
RNAcentral lists this transfer RNA (66 nucleotides) under Myomenippe fornasinii. Its description in RNAcentral is "tRNA-Ser". The record is from RNAcentral. Lineage: Eukaryota; Metazoa; Arthropoda; Malacostraca; Decapoda; Menippidae.